Non-coding RNA from Pelobates cultripes (western spadefoot toad), 214 nucleotides. NCBI's taxonomy places the organism in Eukaryota, Metazoa, Chordata, Amphibia, Anura, Pelobatidae. The record is from the annotation of a GenBank genome assembly.
CUGUGUGUGUCAGUGAGUGGGUGUAUGUCUUUCAGUGAAUGUGUGUCUGUCAGUGAAUGUCUGUGUGUCUGUCAGUGAGUGUCUGUCUGUGUGUCUGUCUGUCAGUGAGUGUGUGUGUAUGUCGGUGAGUGUGCGUGUCGGCCAGUGAGUGUAUGUCUGUCAUUGAGUGUGUGUGCCUGCCAGCAUGUGUCUGUCAGUGAGUGAGUGACAUGAG